RNAcentral lists this ribosomal RNA (549 nucleotides) under Paenibacillus alginolyticus. Its description in RNAcentral is "bacterial SSU rRNA". It matches the Rfam family "Bacterial small subunit ribosomal RNA", at positions 57 to 595 of the family's 1533-position model. Lineage: Bacteria; Bacillati; Bacillota; Bacilli; Caryophanales; Paenibacillaceae. The record is from RNAcentral.
GCAAGUCGAGCGGAUUUAUCCUUCGGGAUACGCUAGCGGCGAACGGGUGAGUAACACGUGGGUGACCUGCCUAGAACAUUGGGAUAACUAUGGGAAACUGUAGCUAAUACCGGAUAUGUGCUUUUCUCGCAUGAGAGAAGUAUGACAGAUUUAUCAAUCUGGGGUGUAUCCAUGGGCCUGCGGCUCGUUGGCUAGGUGGUGGGGUAACGGGGUACCAAGGGGACGACGACCAGCCGACCUGACAGGGUGCACUGGCACUGUGGGACUGACACACGUCCCACACUCCUACGGAAGGCAGAAUAAUGGAAUCUGCCGGAAUGGCCGAUGGUCUGACGGAGCAACGCCGCUGGAGUGAUGAAGGUUUUCGGACCGUUUAGCUCUGUUGCCCUAGACGAAGACGAAGCCUAGUAACUGCUCUUUGUGUAACUACAUGCCAGAAGAAAGCCCCGUAUAACUACGGGCCAGGAGGCCCGGAAAUACUGAGGGGAAAAACGUUGUACGGAAUUUGUCGCGGUAAUGGGGGCGCAGGCGGUCUCUUAUGCUGGGUGG